UACGGGAGGCAGCAGUGGGGAAUAUUGCACAAUGGGCGAAAGCCUGAUGCAGCUAUGCCGCGUGUAUGAAGAAGGCCUUAGGGUUGUAAAGUACUUUCAUCGGGGAGGAAAAACAAAACUAAUAAUUUUAUUUCUUGACGUUACCCGAAAAAGAAGCACCGGCUAACUCCGUGCCAGCAGCCGCGGUAAUACGGAGGGUGCUAGCGUUAAUCAGAAUUACUGGGCGUAAAGAGCACGUAGGUGGUUUUUUAAGUCAGAUGUGAAAUCCCUGGGCUUAACCUAGGAACUGCAUUUUGAAACUGAAAUACUAGAGUAUCGUAGAGGGAGGUAGAAUUCUAGGUGUAGCGGUGAAAUGCGUAGAUAUCUGGAGGAAUACCUGUGGCGAAAGCGGCCUCCUAAACGAAUACUGACACUGAGGUGCGAAAGCGUGGGGAGCAAACAGGGAUUAGAUACCCGU
RNAcentral lists this ribosomal RNA (457 nucleotides) under uncultured bacterium. RNAcentral's name for it is "bacterial SSU rRNA". It matches the Rfam family "Bacterial small subunit ribosomal RNA", at positions 340 to 789 of the family's 1533-position model. The record is from RNAcentral.